Molecule: long non-coding RNA, 3859 nt
Organism: Brassica napus (rape)
Lineage: Eukaryota; Viridiplantae; Streptophyta; Magnoliopsida; Brassicales; Brassicaceae
Exons: 3
Source: RefSeq, a predicted model, not a curated record
AUUUGUAAAUGAUAUAAAUUAAGAUCUAGUAAAAUUGAAUUGUUUUCAACAUAGAUGAGAGAUGAGUGAAUGUAGAUUGAGUCAUGAUAUUAUUUGGUUUGGUGACAUAUGUUAUAGUACCAAUUUUGUUUUGGUCUGUGCAGAGUAGUCCGCAGAGGGUUGUAGUUUGAAUACACAUGUCCAUACAUGCCGUUCUAAUGGGCUACUUAGACAUAGUGUGCGUGUUGCGUUCUACUUUGACAUCUACGUGGGUUGCACUUUCCUUGUGGAUUAGUCUGGAUCCUUCCAUAGGCCCAAAGAAAUCUCCAUGUAAACAAAAAAAGAAGAAUUGGUCGGAUUUGAACAUAGGAGAGCAUAUAAUGAUAGUCAAUUCUGAAAGGACGAGGUAUCAUAUAUGUUCAUAUUGUCUUUACCUAUUGUUGACUGACAUUAUGAGUUUUUGGUUUUUAAUAUAACUUAUAAUCUUACGUUUGUUGUUUCAAAUUUCCCAAUACUAAAUAGUCUAUCUACGAUGAUAGUGAAUAGUUUUGUUGUGAAAUUAAGUCACCUGAGCAUAUAUAGAAAUCCAUAGUUCAUGUGGUAACGUAGCUGAUGUUUAGUUUUUUUUUUUGUAUAGCCAUAUUGUUUGUUAGUUAUGCACUAUUUAUUCUGGAAAUCUGAUCAUUUAAGGUGUUAAUAUAAUGUAGUGAUCCGGUCAAUAUUAAAGAAAAUGUGUAACAUUCUGAUAUAUUGUCAUGUAUGUUAAAAGGUUUAAGGAAACUGAUUUGGUUGAUGUGAAAAAAAAAACUGAUUUGGUUAUCUAUGUCAACAAAGUACAUUUAUUAUUUUUGGACACAUAUCUAAAAACAUCUUGAGUUAAGUGUAGUUGAAUUGGAGUAGCCAAAAGAUGUGUAACAUAUCUGGAAGUGAUUCGCAAUAUCAUGCGAGUAAUACCAAAGCACGGAAAAAGAUCACAGGAUAAUUGCAUAGUCAAUAAACAACUACUUCGAAUCUCUGGAAAUUACACACCGACCGUCGCACGGAGUGGACCUAUGGGCCAAGUGAACAUGCAUAGGAGGCCAAAUAACCGUGGGCGGCUAGGGUGUUACAAGUGGUAUCAAAACCGAAGAAGACGAGUGUGGAAUCAUGUGUGGGCACACAUCAACAUUAGUGACAAUCUUGGGGUGCAACAAAAAGAAAUUGUGUUUUUGUGAGAGGGGAAAAUGUAAUAUUCUAGUCUGUGGUAUGUGGUAGUGUAUGUUGAAAUUCUUAAAAUAACGGAUUUAACUAUCUAUUUCAACAAGAUGCACUGAUCUUUUCGGCUAUACAUCCAUAGAAAACUUCAGAGUUAAACAUAUGCUUGAGCUAGAAAUAAUCAAAUGAUGUGUGACUUAGUAAUUUGCAAUAUCGUGGUGAUUGCAGAAUCAGUAAGCAAAUAUUUUUUUCUUCCAAAAUUAACGCACUGUCCAUUGCAUAGAGUGAACCCAAAAACCGAGUUAAGCGUUGAGGUCUAUUAGCCUUAUGUAAUCAGGAAAUUACAAAAUGUUACAUAUAAUAUGUUCUAUUGUUUGGUGGGUAUGCUACUUGAGAGCUGGUGGUAGUUUUCCCAAUCCUUUAUGAAUAAUGUCCUUCCAACAUCUUUAAAACUCCAUCACGUAUUCACAUCUCUUAAACAAGUUCUUGGGUAAGAAAAUAUAUGGAUUCCAAUGUGAUUAAGUAUAAUUUAUUAAUGAUGUUAAGUUUAAAGCAAUUCAAAAUAGCCCGGGUCAAUUUCUAAUGCUCAAAUAACUUCGUUUCAUGAUUUUGCAAAUAAAUUAAGAAAAAAAUUAAAAGAAUUAUACUAUAUAUUUUUUCUCAAUAAACUAAUAUUCUAAAAAGUAUGGAUUAUUUUUUGAACACAUCUAAAAGAAUAUGGAUAAAACAUUAAUUUUGUUGAAAAGUCUGUCUUCUUCAUGCAAAACAUCACCCUUUAUGAUCAUGAAACAUAGCUAGUUUAUAAAAAAUGUUAUCUGUGAGUAUAUUCUUAGUAAUUAUUGUUAAGUAUAUAUCUUUAUAUAUAAAGUUGAGUUUCCUUUCUUCCUAGGCUGUCCACGUAAGCGGACACGUCACUAAUUCAAGUUUUGAGAAGCCGACACGUGUCCCGGUUGUAUUAAACGCAACACUUCAUUAACUUUGAAAUUUAUGGGCUUUUGUUUUCCGUGUAUAUUUGAAGGUUUUUGGGCUGCUGAUAUAGAUUUUUUCUGGAAGCCCAAUAAGCUAUUGUCUUCAUCUUCUUCUCUUUCACGGAAUAGUUAGGGUUGCCGCUGUUGCUUUAAUCCGACAAUAGAGCUCCUUCUUUGGUGGUAUCCGUCUUCUGCAUCGAUUCGCUUGCAACUCUUCCCAUCCUCUUCUGAGAACGCGCACCAUUAUGAAAUUCGGCUGCAUACAUUCAUUAUCAUUAAAAUUAUAAUUAACUCCAUCUACCCCAUUCAUUCCACGGUUUUACAAUUAAUACGUCCUCCUACCUUCCAGUCGGUGAAUCUGUAUGUAUAUAGGUUAGUUUGCAUCCGUAAAAUUCAUCAGGUCUUUGCUCACAAUCAUUAUUAGCCGAUAAACUCUCGCAUGAGGAUUAACUACGCGGACCAACCAGGAUCCUAUUUCUAUCUCUUAUGCCAAUGCUUCCAAGACGGGUUCAUUCAUCAUGUACCAAUCUCGGUAAAACCAAGCUAGAUUCUUUUUUUUUCUUUUUUUCAUCGUAAUUCAAUUUUUCUUCAUGAUUUUAACACCAUCGUAAGUUACUUAUUGUUAGCAUCAUCUUUAGAUUUUAACUUUAGUAGAGAACUUCCACAAAACAAUUCUUUAUAUAUAAAGUUGAGUUUCCUUUCUUCCUAGGCUGUCCACGUAAGCAGAUACGUCACUAAUUCGAGUUUUGAGAAGCCGACACGUGUCCCGGUUGUAUUAAACGCAACACUUCAUUAACUUUGAAAUUUAUGGGCUUUUGUUUUCCGUGUAUAUUUGAAGGUUUUUGGGCUGCUGAUAUAGAUUUUUUCUGGAAGCCCAAUAAGCUAUUGUCUUCAUCUUCUUCUCUUUCACGGAAUAGUUAGGGUUGCCGCUGUUGCUUUAAUCCGACAAUAGAGCUCCUUCUUUGGUGGUAUCCGUCUUCUGCAUCGAUUCGCUUGCAACUCUUCCCAUCCUCUUCUGAGAACGCGCACCAUUAUGAAAUUCGGCUGCAUACAUUCAUUAUCAUUAAAAUUAUAAUUAACUCCAUCUACCCCAUUCAUUCCACGGUUUUACAAUUAAUACGUCCUCCUACCUUCCAGUCGGUGAAUCUGUAUGUAUAUAGGUUAGUUUGCAUCCGUAAAAUUCAUCAGGUCUUUGCUCACAAUCAUUAUUAGCCGAUAAACUCUCGCAUGAGGAUUAACUACGCGGACCAACCAGGAUCCUAUUUCGAUCUCUUAUGCCAAUGCUUCCAAGACGAGUUCAUUCAUCAUGUACCAAUCUCGGUAUCUCUUUUGUACUGGAAACAACAUCUGCAACAACAAAUAACUGUGAUUGGUGAGUCUCUAUUGGAGGAUUACAGCAUUUUAAAGAUUCUAAAGUGUCAGUGAUUCACACUCAACUUACUUUUUCAAGAACAAUUAAUCUCGAGGAAGCUGCUCAGAUUCUGGAUAGCAUGAAACGUUAAAUGUGGUGAGAGUAUAAUAUUUGCUGGGGAUUUUCCGUGGAAUCUGCAGUGGUCGUGUUACUGAUGUUGUAGCUCUGAAUCAGCCUACAAACAAGAAAUUUGGCAUGAAUACAUUAUUUCUGUAGUUUUCUGAUUUUUCCGUAUCUACCUUUCAACAAUUUUUUUAUUUGAUUAUCUUGUCCAAUUGGGUUAAGAACUUAAGAAUCAUAAUAUUAC